This 429-nucleotide ribosomal RNA is filed under the name Chloroflexota bacterium. RNAcentral describes it as "Chloroflexi bacterium partial 16S ribosomal RNA". It matches the Rfam family "Bacterial small subunit ribosomal RNA", at positions 355 to 776 of the family's 1533-position model. Lineage: Bacteria; Bacillati; Chloroflexota. The record is from RNAcentral.
UGGGGAAUAUUGCACAAUGGGCGCAAGCCUGAUGCAGCCAUGCCGCGUGUGUGAAGAAGGCCUUCGGGUUGUAAAGCACUUUCAGCGAGGAGGAAGGCGGUGAGGUUAAUAACCUCAUCGAUUGACGUUACCCGCAGAAGAAGCACCGGCUAACUCCGUGCCAGCAGCCGCGGUAAUACGGAGGGUGCAAGCGUUAAUCGGAAUUACUGGGCGUAAAGCGCACGCAGGCGGUCUGUCAAGUCGGAUGUGAAAUCCCCGGGCUCAACCUGGGAACUGCAUUCGAAACUGGCAGGCUAGAGUCUUGUAGAGGGGGGUAGAAUUCCAGGUGUAGCGGUGAAAUGCGUAGAGAUCUGGAGGAAUACCGGUGGCGAAGGCGGCCCCCUGGACAAAGACUGACGCUCAGGUGCGAAAGCGUGGGGAGCAAACAGG